UACAGAGGUCUCAAGCGUUGUUCGGAUUCAUUGGGCGUAAAGGGGGCGUAGGCGGCGCGGUAAGUCGGGUGUGAAAUCUCGGGGCUUAACUCCGAAACUGCAUUCGAUACUGCCGUGCUUGAGGACUGGAGAGGAGACUGGAAUUUACGGUGUAGCAGUGAAAUGCGUAGAUAUCGUAAGGAAGACCAGUGGCGAAGGCGGGUCUCUGGACAGUUCCUGACGCUGAGACACGAAGGCCAGGGGAGCAAACGGG
Molecule: ribosomal RNA, 253 nt
Filed under: uncultured bacterium
Lineage: Bacteria
Description: partial 16S ribosomal RNA
Rfam family: Bacterial small subunit ribosomal RNA
Source: RNAcentral